This 426-nucleotide ribosomal RNA is filed under the name uncultured eukaryote. Its description in RNAcentral is "bacterial SSU rRNA". It matches the Rfam family "Eukaryotic small subunit ribosomal RNA", at positions 407 to 888 of the family's 1831-position model. The record is from RNAcentral.
CUACCAUUUCUACGGAAGGCAACAGGGACGAAACUUAUCCAAUCCUAAUUCAGGGAGAUAGUUAAUGGACAUAACAAUUUCGGCCAUUCUGGUUUGAAACUGUAAUGAUCGGAGUCUAAACACCUUCGAGAAAUCUAUUGGAGUUCAAGUCGGUUGCCAGCAAACGCGGUAAUUACUGCUCCAAUAGCGUAUAUUAAAGUUGUUGUAAUUAAAAGCUCGUAGUUGAAAUUCCGGCGCUUUUGCGCCUGACUGUUGCUUCUAUCGCUACUUCACAGUUGUGUUAGCUAGUUCAGUCGUUUACUGUGACAAAAAUAAGUGCUUAAAGCAGGCUAUCGCUUGAAUAAUCUAGCAUGGAAUAAUAAAAGACGACUUUGUUCAUUUUAUUGGUUAUUGGACAAAGUAAUGAUUAACAGGAACAGUAGGGGG